UACGAAGGGGGCUAGCGUUGCUCGGAAUCACUGGGCGUAAAGCGCACGUAGGCGGAUUGCUAAGUCAGGGGUGAAAUCCCGGAGCUCAACUCCAGAACUGCCUUUGAUACUGGCGACCUUGAGUCCGGGAGAGGUGAGUGGAACUGCGAGUGUAGAGGUGAAAUUCGUAGAUAUUCGCAAGAACACCAGUGGCGAAGGCGGCUUACUGGCACGGUACUGACGCUGAGGUGCGAAAGCGUGGGGAGCAAACAGG
This 253-nucleotide ribosomal RNA is filed under the name uncultured bacterium. RNAcentral's name for it is "partial 16S ribosomal RNA". It matches the Rfam family "Bacterial small subunit ribosomal RNA", at positions 524 to 776 of the family's 1533-position model. The record is from RNAcentral.